Molecule: ribosomal RNA, 408 nt
Filed under: Pachymenia orbicularis
Lineage: Eukaryota; Rhodophyta; Florideophyceae; Halymeniales; Halymeniaceae
Description: bacterial LSU rRNA
Rfam family: Bacterial large subunit ribosomal RNA
Source: RNAcentral
GGACAGAAAGACCCUAUGAAGCUUUACUGUAGUCUGAAAUUGAAUUUGAGCCUAUUCUGCGCAGUAUAAGUGGGAGGCUACGACUGUACGCUUGCGGGUGUACACAAGCCAUUAGUGAGAUACCACUCUGGUUAGGCUAGAGUUCUAACUUUGUUGCCAUUAUCUGGCCAAAGAACAGUUUCAGGUAGGCAGUUUGACUGGGGCGGUCGCCUCCUAAAAAGUAACGGAGGCGUACAAAGGUUUCCUCAAGCUGGUCGGAAAUCAGCUGUAGAGUAUAAAGGCAUAAGGAAGCUUGACUGCAAGACAUACAAGUCGAGCAGAGACGAAAGUCGGUCUUAGUGAUCCGACAGUACUGAGUGGAAAGGCUGUCGCUCAACGGAUAAAAGUUACUCUAGGGAUAACAGGCUG